RNAcentral lists this unclassified non-coding RNA (5856 nucleotides) under Megachile rotundata (alfalfa leafcutting bee). RNAcentral describes it as "serine/threonine-protein kinase PAK 3, transcript variant X1". Lineage: Eukaryota; Metazoa; Arthropoda; Insecta; Hymenoptera; Megachilidae. The record is from RNAcentral.
AGACCGCGACGGCGGUGGUGAUUCAGACUUCUUAUCAACCUCGAAAAGUCGUGGAGAAGAAUAGGGAGAAAUUCGUUGACAUUGGGCGUCGAUUACAUGUACGCGAUGAGGUGCCAUUGAUAAGACUCGGAGCGCCGCGUGGUUCCGCCUCCGCCGUGCCCAAACGCGGCACAUUACGGACGUGUGGAUAAAGCGGCGCCAUAUAUACACGAUAUACAACCGUAUUUUUUCUUUCGGGAGUGCGAAAAUACGAAAAAAAGGGAGGAGUGAAACGCCUCGAGAAAUCGCGACAGCAUAGCAGCUCAAGAAAGAGAUAAAAGUACUUGGAAGUCCGUGGAUGCGGCGCGGUGCUUGCACCCGUGCGUGAAUCACGCUUUCGAGGUGCUUGUGUAUCUCCUGCUGUCGAGUACACCCCAUACCCACAACAUUGACCCGUUCGUAGACGCCGUGACUGUUCGCAAUCGAACAUUUUUCGUAAAUUCUGGCGAUUUACCUUGUGUCACCCACGAGGAGGGGCAUCUUUGUUUCAUUCCAUGUUCCCCACCGGUCGUCAAGCUCUUCCACCGUACAAAGCCGGUAUCUGAAAUAUUUUUUUCAAUACGUCUACUAAAUUGAUAGAAGUCGCUUAUUUUCCUUUAUAACUAAAGUGAAUGGAUCUUAGAAUCUCGUGUUUUCAAGAGAGAACUUGGUGGUCUUGUCAACAUAAAGGAUUCUUUAUUUACCAUCAUUUGAACCCCUAAUUUUUUCAAAUUUGUGCAACUGGUAGGAGGUAAUAGUACUAAACCGGUCUUUAAGUAAUAGUUAGAAACAGAGCAACGUACGGUAGAUUGGCAACAAAGAGACAGAAGCGAAGACAACAUGUCAGAUGAAGAAGAUAAACCCCCUGCGCCUCCUGUGCGACUUACGUCAAACAGAGGUGAAUCAGCACCUAAUUUACCAGUGGAUAUGCGUCCACUACCUAAAGAACCUGAUUCUGAUGAACGUAAGAAAAAAACACUGAAAAGCAAGAUGAAGGUAAAGGAGAACAAGGAUAAGCCAAAUAUCAGUUAUCCCACUAAUUUUGAACACACAGUACAUGUUGGAUUUGAUGCUGUUACCGGUGAAUUUACAGGAAUGCCAGAAGCUUGGGCAAGGUUGCUUAUGUCUAGUAACAUCAGUAAGCAAGAACAGAAGAAGAAUCCGCAAGCUGUAUUAGAUGUUUUAAAUUGGUAUGAUAGUAGCAGUAAAGAAACAAAAGGUUCCAAAUAUAUGACAACAACAAAAAUGGUUGGCGUAGUUGCUCCUAUUGAAAGAGCAAGUAGCCCUAGAAGCAUGGGUAUAGGUGUUGGAACAGGGGUAGGAAAUAUUCGUGGUCAAGCAAUGUCACAAGCUUCUGGAAGUUCUCAUUCUCAACAUUCACUCAGCAGAGUAAGUAGCAGUAGUCCAAGUAGUACGCCAACUGAUGCUUGUGCAACCAGUUCUGAACAAGAGGAUGAACCUCCGCCACCACCGAUCUCGGCUAGACCAGAGCGUACAAAAUCAAUUUAUACGAAACCAAUAGAAGAAGAACCACCGCCACCAUUAACAACUACACUAGGAUCACCUCAACGAAAUGGUACACCGCAACAACCACACCAGUCGCAGCUGGAUAGAAACAAAAAUCAAGCAACUCCCACAUCAACGACCACCGAUCAAACGAGACCAACGCAAAGUGAUAAAGCUAGAAAGAAAAAGAUGUCAGAUGACGAGAUAUUAGAAAAACUUAGAACAAUCGUGAGCGUAGGUGAUCCGAAUAGAAAAUAUACAAAAAUGGAAAAGAUAGGACAAGGUGCUUCAGGAACAGUAUAUACAGCAAUUGAAACAUCAACAGGAAUGGAAGUUGCAAUAAAACAAAUGAAUCUUUCGCAACAACCAAAGAAAGAGUUAAUAAUAAAUGAAAUAUUAGUUAUGCGGGAGAACAAACAUGCAAACGUUGUAAACUACUUGGAUAGUUACCUCGUAGGGGAAGAAUUAUGGGUAGUUAUGGAAUAUUUACCUGGUGGUAGUUUAACAGAUGUUGUAACUGAGACUUGUAUGGACGAGGGUCAAAUAGCAGCGGUGUGCAGAGAAGUGUUGCAAGCUUUGGAGUUCCUUCAUUGUAAUCAAGUUAUACAUAGGGAUAUCAAGUCUGAUAAUAUCCUACUUGGAUUAGACGGCGGAGUAAAACUAACAGAUUUCGGAUUUUGUGCACAAAUUUCACCGGAACAAAGUAAACGAACUACAAUGGUUGGUACACCAUAUUGGAUGGCACCAGAAGUAGUCACGAGAAAACAGUAUGGCCCAAAGGUCGAUAUUUGGUCAUUGGGUAUAAUGGCUAUUGAAAUGAUAGAAGGAGAACCACCGUAUUUAAACGAAAAUCCUUUGAGAGCGUUGUAUUUAAUCGCAACAAAUGGAAAGCCUGAAAUUAAAGAGAAAGAUAAAUUGUCGGGAAUUUUUCAAGAUUUUUUAGAUCAGUGUUUAGAAGUUGAAGUGGAGAAACGAGCGGCUGCUUCAGAAUUACUCAAGCAUCCUUUUCUGAAAUUAGCAAGGCCACUUGCUUCUUUAACACCUUUAAUAAUGGCAGCAAAGGAAGCUGCCAAAGGUCAUUAGAAGAGUGGUGUUUUGUGGUCAUGCAUGAUCGCAGAAAAAGAAAAAUAAUUUUACAAGAAAAUAAUGAAUCACCCUCCCAAAACGGAACGGCACAAUAAUUCAAUAAUAUAUAAUAAAAUAAUAAACAUAUAUAAAUAUAUAAAUAUACAUAUAAUAUAUAUAAUAUACAUAUAAUUCACGAAUAUAUAAUAUUAUAUAUAUUAUAAAUGUAUACAAUAUAUAUAUAUAGGUCAUAGAUAGAUAGAACUUAUCCGAUACCUUGAAAAGUAUCGAGAAAUGGUUUCAAAGUUUUUAAAUUACUCGAUUCUCGCAUGUUGCGAGCAAGUAAAGUUAAAUCAGAACUGUGAACGAUCUGACGGCAGAAAUCUUGUAUUCCUCGACAAGUUUUUAUUGGUUACAAAGAGCUCGCUACGAUGUCUUAUUUAAUAAAUAGUCUUCAAAAUAAAAAAGAACAAACUGUACGAGUAGGUUGUUGCCUGGAGAGCUCUUCUGCCAAUAAUAAAACUGGACAUCGAGGAUGUUCAAGCGACUGUCAGUUAUUUUCUAAAGAUAUAAAAAAAAAACUAGUAUUACUGACUCUAAAAAAAAAUUGAAGAUCAGAGUUAGCUACAAACACACAUUAUUUAUAGCAAAAACCUUAUUAGAUAAUACCAUAAAGAAAUGUGAACAAGUAAAUAGGACCUAUUCUAAUAUAUUAUUAUGGUUUAACAAGAAAUCGUAGAUGAAGAAAAUUGGUCUUCGUGUCAGACUUAUAUUUUUUGAAUGAAGUUACGGAGAGCAGAGCAAUAUGUUUUCAGUCUUUGGUCUGUCAGUAUGACGUAGAUAUAAUAAGCGAUAGCCUAACUUGUUUUAAACGUUCUCAAGAAUCACGUUCUUGUCAUUAACUGUUAGCAGACAUCAUUACGUUUUAUAUUUUAAGUUGAUGUUUUAAUAGAUUUUUUAAAAAUAUUUCGACACACUGCAAUUCUUUUGCAUUAUGUUAAAUCUGUAUAUAGUACCAGAUAAUGAUUGAUUUCGUACAUAGUGAAAUUUAUGAUCAAUUUUUAAUACACGCGAAAUCUUAUUUAAACUCUAUUCAUUUUAUAAUUGUAAGAUAAGAAGAUAAGUACUUUUUCUCAUUUGCAUCGCUGAUUAAGACACGUUGAGAUAUUGACCUUGUUACUAAGAUAUAAUAGUUGUAAGAACAUCUUUUUAUGGACUUGAUGUCCAGUUUACGUGUGUUCUUCGAUACAGGUCAAGUAUAACGUUGUCUACAACGUGUCUUCGCAACAAGUGAACGGAUGAUCGACGAAAUUUUAAAACAAGGUUCAGAUAUAGGAGCAUUUUGUGACACUAUAAAGUGCCUGUCUUGUCAUGUUUAGACACGUGAAAAAACUCGCGCUAGAUUCCUUAUAAUCUUGAACCAUCAAUGAAAUGAUUUAAUAUUUUGUUUAAAAAACUAAGCAGCAGUAUACAUACAAAUCAACGGAAGAUUAUUGUUUCAUUAUAUUGAUAUAUAAAGCAAGGUUUCUAGAUGGUUGUACUACAUUAAAUAUGUAAUAAUGUCUUUCCUAAUUGUAUUACAGUGGACUCUCGCUAUAUGGCCCUAAACGAUAGGAGCGAAAAAGUAUUGUGGAAUAGGCCUUAUAAGCGGAUCUCUUUCCGUAUGUAACACUCGAUUGUCAAAAACAUACUUUCAAAUUUCCAGAUUAAAAAAUUUGAUAUUCUGGCAAUAUUCGUGGAUCUCCAUGCACUACAAUAACGAGAGAGGUCCACUAAUGUGCGUGAAAGUCCGUGCGAAAUGAAACUGGCUGAACUGGCCAUAUAAAUGGAAGCUAUAUAUCGAGACUGCACUGUACGUCUUAAACGUAUAUUACUGAAAAGAAAGAAACCUUGGGAUAUUCUUAGUUUAAGAAAUACAGAUUUUUCGAACUUGUCAUUUUUAUUCUUUAUCAUCUUCAUUAUGUAUAGGAUUUUAUCGUACAUUAACGCUAAAAAAACGCCACGUGAGAAAUAUAAUAGCUAUCGAAGAGAUUAAUGACAUAUUAUGCAUAAAGCGAAAGAAAUAAUAAAAAAAAUGAUUACGAAGCAUACAUCGUUUGGUAACGAAUGAUCGUAUAUGUAAUAAUAUAUUCAUUAUCUAUUGAGUUAAUUGUUCUUUUGUAACUUUAAAAAGCCUGAUUAGUUUUUUAUAAUAAUCAAUAAUGUCUAAUUAUACUUGACAGACGAAGCAGCUCAGUUUGUAUUGCGCUUACGCCUGAAUUUGGAGUUGUAUGCUGAAGGAUUAAUAAUGUAUUUACCUGUCGAAGAAUCAGGGACUAUAUAAUAUUUAAUUGUAUCAAAUUUGUCUCAGUAUUGCGUGAGAAUAUGAGCUGUUGCAUUAUUCCAUUUCAGCAUAUACUCCAAAUUGUUUGGGCACUGUAAGCAAUGUUUAGGAGGUAUAGAAAACAAAAUAACUGUGCACGUCUAGUAUUAAUAAAGAAAAACAUACAAUUGUGUAAAAGAAAAAUGAAAAAAAGAAACUUGCGAUUCAGGGUCAAAAUUGACAUUUAACUCGAUCAGAAGUACUGAACGAGGUCCUGCAUUUUCACAAAUAUCUUUAGAACAAAAAAAAAGAACAUAACGUCCAUUUUAUGUCAUUGUAUUACUGCGGCAGUUAUUAAGCAUAUUUCAGCUACAAGCAGCUAUGUAUAAGAUUUAUUUUUAUUCGCAAGAUCGAGAUGAGUAAGGUGCAAUGUUUGCUUGUCCACGUUUUUGAAAAUUGCAUACUUGUAUGCGAGUACUCUUGAACAUUCAGUAUUUAUUUAUGGACUAAACAAAAGUACAAAGUUGUAUUGAUAUGCCUUACUGUAAUAAAAGUAAGUAUUAUUCGCAAAAUUCUUGUGAGCUUCGUUAUUUUGCUAUUAAAAAUAAUAAAACGGUAUUAUGUAAUGUUUCAAAUAAGAUCCUAAACAAAAACGUGGACAAGUACGUGUUUUUGCAUCGCUGUCUUGAUUAUCGUUCCAAGUGCAUUUACGUAUCCCUUUAAGAAAUGUAUUAUUGUCAGUUUAGAACUAUAAAAUAGGUUCCUACACAAAUCAGAUUAAGUAUGUAUACGCAUGUUUUCAAUACUCUUUUUUAUGAUGUUUUUGAAAAUGCUUUGAGAUCUCACUUGUGAAACAAAGAUCAGGCCUAGUAACGAUGUCAUUAUUUUAUUUACGUGUGUCAAUAAAAAUUUUGGGCUUGCAGUUUUUUAAUGAAAACUUUCCGUUUUAACUGUACCUCUGUAAA